This is a long non-coding RNA of Daphnia magna, 171 nucleotides long. RefSeq lists it as uncharacterized. The record is from RefSeq and is a predicted model, not a curated record. The transcript has 2 exons. Lineage: Eukaryota; Metazoa; Arthropoda; Branchiopoda; Diplostraca; Daphniidae.
GAAAACUUCUAAAAAAUUCCAAUAAUGGCUAAGGGGGAUUCUCAUGGUCCGAGACGUUCACGACUCGCUAGAGAUCAGCUUCAGGUUGCCUGCCAAGAGAAAGAAGAAGUGGAAGGGAGUUCUUAGGCUUGAAAUACACACACACACACGGUGAUCUGUUUUAACACUGAA